Molecule: ribosomal RNA, 450 nt
Filed under: uncultured bacterium
Lineage: Bacteria
Description: bacterial SSU rRNA
Rfam family: Bacterial small subunit ribosomal RNA
Source: RNAcentral
UCCAGACUCCUACGGGAGGCAGCAGUGGGGAAUAUUGGGCAAUGGGCGCAAGCCUGACCCAGUAACGCCGCGUGAAGGAAGAAGGCUUUCGGGUUGUAAACUUCUUUUCUCAGGGACGAAGAAAGUGACGGUACCUGAGGAAUAAGCCACGGCUAACUACGUGCCAGCAGCCGCGGUAAUACGUAGGUGGCAAGCGUUAUCCGGAUUUAUUGGGUGUAAAGGGGGUGUAGGCGGGAGCGUAAGUCAGAUGGGAAAACGCAGGGCUCAACCCCGAGCCCGCCUUUGAAACUGGGGUUCUUGAGUGCUGGAGAAGCAAUCGGAAUUCCGGGUGUAGCGGUGAAAUGCGUAGAUAUACGGAGGAACACCAGUGGCGAAGGCGGAUUGCUGGACAGUAACUGACGCUGAGGCGCGAAAGCGUGGGGAGCAAACAGGAUUAGAUACCCGAGUACA